This 211-nucleotide long non-coding RNA is filed under the name Gossypium raimondii (Peruvian cotton). RNAcentral's name for it is "long non-coding RNA (GRAI_LNC003980)". The record is from RNAcentral. Lineage: Eukaryota; Viridiplantae; Streptophyta; Magnoliopsida; Malvales; Malvaceae.
GGGGACAGAGUGGUGUUUUGGUUGGUAAUUGGGUGGGAUUUUUACUUGUGCAUUUGUUUCGCAUCCGAGUAUAUUGUGACUGUAUGAACUUCGUUGGAAUAUAUGUGAUAUGACCUAUUUUAUUUUAUGUGAAUAUGUGUGAUGUGUUGAUUGAGUUUUUUGUAUAUUUGUUUGUUUUCUUCAUCAUUGCCGCUUUACUUUUGUUUCGGAC